CCUACGGGAGGCAGCAGUAGGGAAUAUUGGUCAAUGGACGGAAGUCUGAACCAGCCAUUCCGCGUGCAGGAAGAACGGUCCUAUGGACUGUAAACUGCUUUUAGCAGAGAAGAAACGCCUUCAUUUAUGAGGGUCUGACGGUAUCUGCGGAAUAAGCACCGGCUAACUCCGUGCCAGCAGCCGCGGUAAUACGGGGGGUGCAAGCGUUAUCCGGAAUCACUGGGUUUAAAGGGUGCGUAGGCGGGACAUUAAGUCAGUGGUGAAAGUCUGUUGCUUAACGAUAGAAUUGCCGUUGAUACUGAUGUUCUUGAAUUGGGUUGAGGUUAGCGGAAUGUGACAUGUAGCGGUGAAAUGCAUAGAUAUGUCAUGGAACACCAAUUGCGAAGGCAGCUAGCUGGGCCUUGAUUGACGCUGAGGCACGAAAGCGUGGGGAGCAAACAGGAUUAGAUACCCUGGUAGUCCACGCCCUAAACGAUGCUAACUCGAUGUUUGGUUUUAGGAUUGAGCAUCUAAGGGAAACCGAUAAGUUAGCCACCUGGGGAGUACGACCGCAAGGUUGAAACUCAAAGGAAUUGACGG
This 579-nucleotide ribosomal RNA is filed under the name uncultured bacterium. RNAcentral describes it as "bacterial SSU rRNA". It matches the Rfam family "Bacterial small subunit ribosomal RNA", at positions 338 to 916 of the family's 1533-position model. The record is from RNAcentral.